Molecule: long non-coding RNA, 1880 nt
Filed under: Nicotiana tabacum (common tobacco)
Lineage: Eukaryota; Viridiplantae; Streptophyta; Magnoliopsida; Solanales; Solanaceae
Description: long non-coding RNA (NTAB_LNC015417)
Source: RNAcentral
CUCAUUAAUAUAUAAUAAUGCUGCAACUCAAUGUUGUCUAAAACUAUCCCCAAGAUUUGAUGUUACAAGUAUACGAGACAUUAAGAGUAAUAAAUACAAAGUCUCCAAAGAAAAAUACAACAUAGUUUGGUACAAUAAAUAGUUAAAAGGGAUAAGAAAGGGAUUCCAAGGUCUGUGAACAUCGUGCAGCACUACCUCAAGUCUCCUGAAUAGUCCAUGCUAAUCACCUUUGAAUGCCACUGAGAUCAAUAUCAGCAUCUGCAUAAAAAAUGCAAAAGUAUAGUAUGAGUACAACCGACCUCAUGUACUUAGUAAGUAUAGAGCCUAACCUUGACAAUGUAGUGACAGACUAUGACAAGACAUUCACCAUAAACUUAUACAAGUAUUAAGGAGAAAGCAACGACAAAAUAGAGAAACGAGUAAAAUCAUAAAAUUAAAUAAGAGAAUGGAUAAUAGAGUUCCCAGAAAUAACAUCACGCACAACCUCAUAACACAACACCAUAGUGGAGAACAACAACCAAGAAUAAUUACAAGACAUCCUAUCUGUUGUGGCGUACAACCCGAUCCCAAUAUCAAUACAAACAAUAAUCAUUACCGUUGUAGCGCACAACUCGAUCCCAAUAUCAAUAACAAAUAUCGUUGCAGUGUGCAACCCGAUCUGAAUAUCAAUUAUAACAAAUAUCAUUGCGGGGUACAACCUGAUCUCAAUAUGAAUAACAAGUACUGUUGCAGCGUGCAACCCAAUAACAACCAAAUAUGGCAAAAUGCACAACAAAACGUUUAUAAAAAAACCUAAAGCGCAUAAUUUACCAAGGAAAUACAAGCACGAAAAAAGAGUGUCAAACAAUUCAAUGUGUAAGAAUUAGUCUCACAAUAUAUAUGUCAACAAAGACUUCAACUAGUAAACACGAGAAUAAUUUAAAAGUCACACAAUCCGACAUAACAUAGUAGAGUAAAACAAAAAAGUAAAGACAAAAAAGCAAGUAAGGUAUGAAGCACAUAAAAGCAUCUAUCUAACAACAUGUAAGAGCAUGUAAUAAGUAAAAACAUACAAUAAAUAAAGGCAAGAAAUAAGUAGAAGCAUGUGCAAAAUAAAGGCAUGUAACAAGUGAAGGCAUAUAUAUCUAGUAAAGCAUGUAUCAGCUAAGAGCACAUAAUAAGUAAUAGCAUAAAAUAAGUAAAGACAUGGUAUAAUUAAAGGCAUGAAAUAAACUUGUAUUCCAUGCAUGCUUAAACUCAUGAUAAUGCAUAUACACUUAUUACCUUACAUAUACGUCGUCCCCACAUAUAGAUCAUAUAGAAAAUAGAUCAAUCACGUCCUAAUUUUCUCAAUCAAGGUUAAUCACAAUACUUACCUUUUUCCGGAACAAAAUCAACAAUCCAACACAGUAUUCCCUUUAGAACAAGCCUCCAACCCAUCCGAAUCUAGUCAAAUAUUACUCAAAUAAGUCAAAAUAAGCUUUAGAAACUAACCUAAUAUCAAAAAGGUUCGAUCUUGAUCACAUUUGAAAAAGUUAACAAAAAGUCAAUCCGGGCUAUGGUCUAAAUUGAAAAUUAAGUCCAUUUCCCGUUUACCCAUUCUCUCCGAGUCUAAAUAUACGACUUGUAUCAAGAUUGGAUAUCAGUCGAGGUCCAAACUUUCAAAAUUAGCCUUCAUAAGUUUUUCUCCCAAUUUCUACUGUUUAAAAUACUAGAUUUAGUGAUACAAAUCUAUGGAUAUUAAUGAAAAUAAAUUAAAACUAGAUAAAAAUUACUGACCAAUAAAGUUGGGAUGGAAAUCUUUUCAAAAGUCUUCUCAAUCCGUUUCUUAUGACAUGUUCUAUCUCUCUGGCUUUUCUCUCCUAGCUCAGCCCAACAAGCUGUUGUGAACUUCUCUCUUG